UACGUAGGGAGCAAGCGUUGUCCGGAAUCAUUGGGCGUAAAGCGCGCGUAGGCGGCCCGGUAAGUCCGCUCUGAAAGUCCAGGGCUUAACCCUGGAAAGCGGGUGGAUACUGCCGGGCUAGAAUCCGGAAGAGGCGAGUGGAAUUCCUGGUGUAGCGGUGGAAUGCGCAGAUAUCAGGAGGAACACCAGCGGCGAAGGCGGCGCUCUGGGCCGGAACUGACGCUGAGGAGCGAAAGCGUGGGUAGCAAACAGG
Molecule: ribosomal RNA, 253 nt
Filed under: uncultured bacterium
Lineage: Bacteria
Description: partial 16S ribosomal RNA
Rfam family: Bacterial small subunit ribosomal RNA
Source: RNAcentral